UACGUAGGGUCCGAGCGUUGUCCGGAGUUACUGGGCGUAAAGCGCGUGCAGGUGGUCCAUUAAGCCCGGCGUGAAAGCCCCCGGCUCAACCGGGGAGGGUCGUCGGGGACUGGUGGACUUGAGGGCGGCAGGGGCUGGUGGAAUCCCCGGUGUAGUGGUGAAAUGCGUAGAGAUCGGGGGGAACACCCGUGGCGAAGGCGGCCAGCUGGGCCGACCCUGACACUGAGGCGCGAAGGCGUGGGGAGCGAACGGG
Molecule: ribosomal RNA, 253 nt
Filed under: uncultured bacterium
Lineage: Bacteria
Description: partial 16S ribosomal RNA
Rfam family: Bacterial small subunit ribosomal RNA
Source: RNAcentral